AUAAAAACUGUGAUUAGGAAAAGUAAUUAAGAUUUCUACUUUAAGAGAGUAACUGGUUGGUGUGAAGUUAUAUAGUGUCUUAGUGAAAAUCACCUAGGAGUUGGAAAUUGAACAGCCUUGCUUAGUAGGUAUUCCCGUUAGCCAGCGUUAAUGGAUAGAGCAUGAUUGUGCUUGAAAUAAGUACCCUAAAUUUAUUAUAAGGGUAUACUUUGCCAUAGGUGGUAUAGCGAAUUCAACUUCGUCCUUUUG
Molecule: non-coding RNA, 249 nt
Filed under: Clostridium paraputrificum
Lineage: Bacteria; Bacillati; Bacillota; Clostridia; Eubacteriales; Clostridiaceae
Description: T-box sequence
Rfam family: T-box leader
About the family: Uncharged tRNA acts as the effector for transcription antitermination of genes in the T-box leader family. T-boxes are found upstream of many aminoacyl-tRNA synthetase genes and some amino acid biosynthetic genes usually in Gram-positive bacteria.
Source: RNAcentral